RNAcentral lists this long non-coding RNA (162 nucleotides) under Coturnix japonica (Japanese quail). Its description in RNAcentral is "lncRNA (ENSCJPG00005017566.1)". The record is from RNAcentral. Lineage: Eukaryota; Metazoa; Chordata; Aves; Galliformes; Phasianidae.
AUGAUAUUUUGCCACUAUAUAGCUCAGACGCUGUACGGACCCUGCCAACAGUUUACUCAGUGGCUUCAGUUUCCUGUCCUUGCUGGCCUCCUCACUCAAGUCUGCCUUGAAUUCUUCCCUCUGAUCCCAGUAUUCUGCCACCUUUCCAAACCUUUGAUGUGA